RNAcentral lists this ribosomal RNA (512 nucleotides) under uncultured bacterium. RNAcentral describes it as "bacterial SSU rRNA". It matches the Rfam family "Bacterial small subunit ribosomal RNA", at positions 23 to 578 of the family's 1533-position model. The record is from RNAcentral.
CUCAGACUGAACGCUGGCGGCAUGGCUAAAGCAUGCAAGUCGAACGAGCCCGCAAGGGCAAGUGGCGGACGGGUUAGUAAUGCGAUCGAACGUACCCAGAGGUGGGGGGAUAGCGGUGGGAAACUGCCGGUAAUACCCCAUGUGCUCCUCGGAGGAAAGGUUUACCGCCUUUGGAUCGGCGAUCGUCCUAUCAGGUAGUUGGCGGGGUAAAAGCCCACCAAGCCGAAGACGGGUAGCGGGUGUGAGAGCACGGCCCGCAACAUCGGAACUGAGAUACUGUCCGGACUCCUACGGGAGGCUGCAGCAACGAAUCUUCCGCAAUGGGGCGCAAGCCUGACGGAGCAAUGCCGCGUGUGGGAUGAAGUGCCUCCGGCAUGUAAACCACUGUCAGAAAGCAGAAACACUGAUUGCUUUCAAAGGAAGUGGCGACUAACUCUGUGCCAGCAGUCGCGGUAAUACAGAGGCCACAAGCGUUAGGUCGGAAUUACUGGGCUUAAAGGGUGCGUAGGCGG